UAGGGAAUCUUCCGCAAUGGACGAAAGUCUGACGGAGCAACGCCGCGUGAACGAAGAAGGCCUUCGGGUCGUAAAGUUCUGUUGUUAGGGAAGAACAAGUACCAGAGUAACUGCUGGUACCUUGACGGUACCUAACCAGAAAGCCACGGCUAACUACGUGCCAGCAGCCGCGGUAAUACGUAGGUGGCAAGCGUUGUCCGGAAUUAUUGGGCGUAAAGCGCGCGCAGGUGGUU
This 233-nucleotide ribosomal RNA is filed under the name uncultured Peribacillus sp. Its description in RNAcentral is "partial 16S ribosomal RNA". It matches the Rfam family "Bacterial small subunit ribosomal RNA", at positions 355 to 580 of the family's 1533-position model. The record is from RNAcentral. Lineage: Bacteria; Bacillati; Bacillota; Bacilli; Caryophanales; Bacillaceae.